This 1271-nucleotide unclassified non-coding RNA is filed under the name Bombus terrestris (buff-tailed bumblebee). RNAcentral's name for it is "misc RNA ENSBTSG00005035759.1". The record is from RNAcentral. Lineage: Eukaryota; Metazoa; Arthropoda; Insecta; Hymenoptera; Apidae.
GAAAACUAUCUGUAUAACAAGUGAAUUCGUCGACAAGGUACUUCAAAAAGAUAGACUAGAUAUACUUUUUAAAGGGCAAUGAUUGUAGUUAGGAAUAAGAAGUUAUCAAAUGUGAAUUGGUUCAAAAGUCGUGGAAAAAUACUUUGUUUGAAUACGCAAAGCUCAUGUCAUGUAGGAGACACAAGAAAUCGCGAAAUUAACAGAUCACCGGUGAUCUCCUCGCGUCGUAGUUUGAACGUUUCACGAGUAAGAGUGACGGUUCAGAGUGUCAUAACAAAGAAAGUGCUGAGUGCUGAUUUGGGAGGGUUCUUAUACUAAGGCUUGGUCCUCCUGGAGGGGUUAUCGUCGGGUGUAUUACCAGACGCGACUAUUCUGUUACUAUCUGGUUAUUGUUUCGAUGGGUGUGGCAUGCAGGAUGUUUUGUCUACCCUGUUACUGUUUUUGAGCGUGUGACACUCACAGAGAUUGACGCCCGCUAUUUCAAUCUACAUAAGCCCAAACCUUGUUACAAGAAAAUGAAAAUAUUUAUUAUCUGUAUUGGAUAUGGAUUACUUUUUUCAAUUCGACUGUCUUAGUGGACAAAAUGAUAUUAAUGUCAAGUGAUAGCCAACUUCCUCACGACAGCCGGAUUCAUCAGUAUUUUUCAUUUUUCUUUUGUGUACCAUUUAAUAGCGUCUGUCAACACAUGUCAGAUCUAUGCGUCUAAAAGAUCCUUUUUUCAUUUUUGAAGUAGUUUCAAGUUAGUAAAAGAAAGAAAUAAAUAUUGAAAUGUUUGUGCGCUGUAGAAGUUGUUUACAGGCUGCUGCAAUGUGUUUUUAAAAGCAAUAGUUAAGUAGACUGCAGUAGUAGAAUGCAAACACGUACGUUGCCAUGGGCAAGCUAUGGGCAACGUGUGGGCAAGGUUCAAUGUGAUAGUAGCAACAAUCUUUUGCAAAUAUCUCGGAAACUAAGACCGAGCGACGGUUAUGUGUAUAGGAAAAAGUUUAGAAUGUUGAAUUUUACAACAAAUUUAGAUUUCACUACAAUCUGAUGUACAACCUCGUUUAUAAAUAAUUACAGAAUAUCAUUGUAUCCUGAAAAUUUUUCUAAUUAAUUUGUGUAAGCAAUACCAUACCUCAUUCUUCAUUUUAUAUUUCAUUAUUUAUCAUAUGUUAUUAUUUACUAUAAUUCAACAAUAUCAAAAAUAUAUUCCCAGCCGGGGAACCAUUUCCAUACGUUACUUUACUACAUAUCGCAUAAUAAUUGUGGUAUAAAUUAUCGGUACUUGUACC